AUUCAUUCCUGUUAUCAUACCAGAUUCAUUCCUGUUAUCAUACCAACAAGGUCCCAAGACCCAAUGAAAUACAAAAUGGCAUCUUUUAAGGCCCUUUUCCAUAGGCUACAUAAACAUUGUAUGAGGCAAGAGGACAGAGAGAAAGAAUAUAGCUAUAUGAUCAUCCAAGGACAGAAAUACAGUUAUAUUUAUAACACUGUGAAGGCCAUAUAUAAUAAAGUUGUUAAAUCAAUGACCAGUCCCCUUAUGAUAUCAGACCACAAGAUAAUACUCAGCCCAGCCAGGAUCAAUGUAUGUAUCCUCUUAUAUAUGACCUGGUAGUAGACAGAUUGUAAAAAAAGUGCCAAAGAACAACUCAUGCAGGCGUCUAUAAAAGAAAUAAUACCAUCUUUGCAA
Molecule: long non-coding RNA, 396 nt
Filed under: Androctonus crassicauda
Lineage: Eukaryota; Metazoa; Arthropoda; Arachnida; Scorpiones; Buthidae
Source: RNAcentral